GAUCCUGGCUCAAGAACGAACGCUGGCGGCAUGCCUAACACAUGCAAGUCGAACGAGACCUUCGGGUCUAGUGGCGCACGGGUGCGUAACGCGUGGGAAUCUGCCCCUUGGUUCGGAAUAACAGUUAGAAAUGACUGCUAAUACCGGAUGAUGACGAAAGUCCAAAGAUUUAUCGCCGAGGGAUGAGCCCGCGUAGGAUUAGCUAGUUGGUGAGGUAAAGGGCUCACCAAGGCGACGAUCCUUAGCUGGUCUGAGAGGAUGAUCAGCCACACUGGGACUGAGACACGGCCCAGACUCCUACGGGAGGCAGCAGUGGGGAAUAUUGGACAAUGGGCGAAAGCCUGAUCCAGCAAUGCCGCGUGAGUGAUGAAGGCCUUAGGGUCGUAAAGCUCUUUACCAGGGAUGAUAAUGACAGUACCUGGAGAAUAAGCUCCGGCUAACUCCGUG
This 447-nucleotide ribosomal RNA is filed under the name uncultured bacterium. Its description in RNAcentral is "bacterial SSU rRNA". It matches the Rfam family "Bacterial small subunit ribosomal RNA", at positions 15 to 507 of the family's 1533-position model. The record is from RNAcentral.